AACUGAGGACAAAUGAUUAUACAUCACUAAAUGAAGCUGAUUAAUUUAUUGCUCCUUUGUGUCCAGUGACAAAUAUGUCAUGCAUAUUCCCGACUAGAUUCAAAGUGGAUCAAUCUGAAUCAUAUGCUUACAAAUUUAGAGUGGCAUUUUUUACAAUAAGGCAGAGCGUUCGCUAGAGGUAAAACGUAUGCCGAAAUAGAAUAGAUUUGAACCAUAAUGAUAGAACUCGUAAGUUAAGCUAUUAGCCCUCCUGCCCACUUUUUUCUCCACGGUAGAUAAAAGCCAUAAACAAAACGUCAUGAAUUUACAAUCAAUAACGGCCACUAUAAGUAAAUGAGAUAUGGACUUUUUAUAAAUAAAUUCCUAUUGCAGCCAACAUUUCCCGGUUCGGGACAGGUUAUUAUUUCCACAAAAUACCGCCUGAUUAUUGAUCGGAGAUAUUUAAGCAACCAAAAG
This 456-nucleotide long non-coding RNA is filed under the name Mytilus galloprovincialis (Mediterranean mussel). Lineage: Eukaryota; Metazoa; Mollusca; Bivalvia; Mytilida; Mytilidae. The record is from RNAcentral.